GUGCUUACCUAGAAGGGGAGAGAGAUACUAUGAUCACAAGGGCAGUCUUCUCACUCUAAGGCUCGCGCCCAUUGUACUCUAGAUCUGAUAGCUCUGUCAUUUCCCCACAUUCAGAUGUUGUGACUACAUAAUUUGUGGAAGCAGGGACUGUGUUCACACCUUCCUUU
Molecule: small nuclear RNA, 167 nt
Organism: Peromyscus maniculatus bairdii (prairie deer mouse)
Lineage: Eukaryota; Metazoa; Chordata; Mammalia; Rodentia; Cricetidae
Gene: U1
Rfam family: U1 spliceosomal RNA
About the family: U1 is a small nuclear RNA (snRNA) component of the spliceosome (involved in pre-mRNA splicing). Its 5' end forms complementary base pairs with the 5' splice junction, thus defining the 5' donor site of an intron.
Source: Ensembl